CAGCAGCCGCGGGAAUACGAAGGGUGCAAGCGUUAAUCGGAAUUACUGGGCGUAAAGCGUGCGUAGGCGGUUUGUUAAGUCUGUUGUGAAAUCCCCGGGCUCAACCUGGGAAUGGCAAUGGAUACUGGCAAGCUAGAGUGUGUCAGAGGAUGGUGGAAUUCCCGGUGUAGCGGUGAAAUGCGUAGAGAUCGGGAGGAACAUCAGUGGCGAAGGCGGCCAUCUGGGACAACACUGACGCUGAGGCACGAAAGCGUGGGGAGCAAACAGGAUUAGAGACCCCUGUAGUCCCUGUCUCUUAUAC
RNAcentral lists this ribosomal RNA (301 nucleotides) under uncultured bacterium. RNAcentral's name for it is "partial 16S ribosomal RNA". It matches the Rfam family "Bacterial small subunit ribosomal RNA", at positions 509 to 807 of the family's 1533-position model. The record is from RNAcentral.